RNAcentral lists this ribosomal RNA (2933 nucleotides) under Escherichia coli. RNAcentral describes it as "23S ribosomal RNA". It matches the Rfam family "Bacterial large subunit ribosomal RNA". The record is from RNAcentral. Lineage: Bacteria; Pseudomonadati; Pseudomonadota; Gammaproteobacteria; Enterobacterales; Enterobacteriaceae.
GGGUUGUGAGGUUAAGCGACUAAGCGUACACGGUGGAUGCCCUGGCAGUCAGAGGCGAUGAAGGACGUGCUAAUCUGCGAUAAGCGUCGGUAAGGUGAUAUGAACCGUUAUAACCGGCGAUUUCCGAAUGGGGAAACCCAGUGUGAUUCGUCACACUAUCAUUAACUGAAUCCAUAGGUUAAUGAGGCGAACCGGGGGAACUGAAACAUCUAAGUACCCCGAGGAAAAGAAAUCAACCGAGAUUCCCCCAGUAGCGGCGAGCGAACGGGGAGCAGCCCAGAGCCUGAAUCAGUGUGUGUGUUAGUGGAAGCGUCUGGAAAGGCGCGCGAUACAGGGUGACAGCCCCGUACACAAAAAUGCACAUGCUGUGAGCUCGAUGAGUAGGGCGGGACACGUGGUAUCCUGUCUGAAUAUGGGGGGACCAUCCUCCAAGGCUAAAUACUCCUGACUGACCGAUAGUGAACCAGUACCGUGAGGGAAAGGCGAAAAGAACCCCGGCGAGGGGAGUGAAAAAGAACCUGAAACCGUGUACGUACAAGCAGUGGGAGCACAGAGCAAUCUGUGUGACUGCGUACCUUUUGUAUAAUGGGUCAGCGACUUAUAUUCUGUAGCAAGGUUAACCGAAUAGGGGAGCCGAAGGGAAACCGAGUCUUAACUGGGCGUUAAGUUGCAGGGUAUAGACCCGAAACCCGGUGAUCUAGCCAUGGGCAGGUUGAAGGUUGGGUAACACUAACUGGAGGACCGAACCGACUAAUGUUGAAAAAUUAGCGGAUGACUUGUGGCUGGGGGUGAAAGGCCAAUCAAACCGGGAGAUAGCUGGUUCUCCCCGAAAGCUAUUUAGGUAGCGCCUCGUGAAUUCAUCUCCGGGGGUAGAGCACUGUUUCGGCAAGGGGGUCAUCCCGACUUACCAACCCGAUGCAAACUGCGAAUACCGGAGAAUGUUAUCACGGGAGACACACGGCGGGUGCUAACGUCCGUCGUGAAGAGGGAAACAACCCAGACCGCCAGCUAAGGUCCCAAAGUCAUGGUUAAGUGGGAAACGAUGUGGGAAGGCCCAGACAGCCAGGAUGUUGGCUUAGAAGCAGCCAUCAUUUAAAGAAAGCGUAAUAGCUCACUGGUCGAGUCGGCCUGCGCGGAAGAUGUAACGGGGCUAAACCAUGCACCGAAGCUGCGGCAGCGACGCUUAUGCGUUGUUGGGUAGGGGAGCGUUCUGUAAGCCUGUGAAGGUGUGCUGUGAGGCAUGCUGGAGGUAUCAGAAGUGCGAAUGCUGACAUAAGUAACGAUAAAGCGGGUGAAAAGCCCGCUCGCCGGAAGACCAAGGGUUCCUGUCCAACGUUAAUCGGGGCAGGGUGAGUCGACCCCUAAGGCGAGGCCGAAAGGCGUAGUCGAUGGGAAACAGGUUAAUAUUCCUGUACUUGGUGUUACUGCGAAGGGGGGACGGAGAAGGCUAUGUUGGCCGGGCGACGGUUGUCCCGGUUUAAGCGUGUAGGCUGGUUUUCCAGGCAAAUCCGGAAAAUCAAGGCUGAGGCGUGAUGACGAGGCACUACGGUGCUGAAGCAACAAAUGCCCUGCUUCCAGGAAAAGCCUCUAAGCAUCAGGUAACAUCAAAUCGUACCCCAAACCGACACAGGUGGUCAGGUAGAGAAUACCAAGGCGCUUGAGAGAACUCGGGUGAAGGAACUAGGCAAAAUGGUGCCGUAACUUCGGGAGAAGGCACGCUGAUAUGUAGGUGAAGUCCCUCGCGGAUGGAGCUGAAAUCAGUCGAAGAUACCAGCUGGCUGCAACUGUUUAUUAAAAACACAGCACUGUGCAAACACGAAAGUGGACGUAUACGGUGUGACGCCUGCCCGGUGCCGGAAGGUUAAUUGAUGGGGUCAGCGCAAGCGAAGCUCUUGAUCGAAGCCCCGGUAAACGGCGGCCGUAACUAUAACGGUCCUAAGGUAGCGAAAUUCCUUGUCGGGUAAGUUCCGACCUGCACGAAUGGCGUAAUGAUGGCCAGGCUGUCUCCACCCGAGACUCAGUGAAAUUGAACUCGCUGUGAAGAUGCAGUGUACCCGCGGCAAGACGGAAAGACCCCGUGAACCUUUACUAUAGCUUGACACUGAACAUUGAGCCUUGAUGUGUAGGAUAGGUGGGAGGCUUUGAAGUGUGGACGCCAGUCUGCAUGGAGCCGACCUUGAAAUACCACCCUUUAAUGUUUGAUGUUCUAACGUUGACCCGUAAUCCGGGUUGCGGACAGUGUCUGGUGGGUAGUUUGACUGGGGCGGUCUCCUCCUAAAGAGUAACGGAGGAGCACGAAGGUUGGCUAAUCCUGGUCGGACAUCAGGAGGUUAGUGCAAUGGCAUAAGCCAGCUUGACUGCGAGCGUGACGGCGCGAGCAGGUGCGAAAGCAGGUCAUAGUGAUCCGGUGGUUCUGAAUGGAAGGGCCAUCGCUCAACGGAUAAAAGGUACUCCGGGGAUAACAGGCUGAUACCGCCCAAGAGUUCAUAUCGACGGCGGUGUUUGGCACCUCGAUGUCGGCUCAUCACAUCCUGGGGCUGAAGUAGGUCCCAAGGGUAUGGCUGUUCGCCAUUUAAAGUGGUACGCGAGCUGGGUUUAGAACGUCGUGAGACAGUUCGGUCCCUAUCUGCCGUGGGCGCUGGAGAACUGAGGGGGGCUGCUCCUAGUACGAGAGGACCGGAGUGGACGCAUCACUGGUGUUCGGGUUGUCAUGCCAAUGGCACUGCCCGGUAGCUAAAUGCGGAAGAGAUAAGUGCUGAAAGCAUCUAAGCACGAAACUUGCCCCGAGAUGAGUUCUCCCUGACUCCUUGAGAGUCCUGAAGGAACGUUGAAGACGACGACGUUGAUAGGCCGGGUGUGUAAGCGCAGCGAUGCGUUGAGCUAACCGGUACUAAUGAACCGUGAGGCUUAACCUUACAACGCCGAAGGUGUUU